This is a long non-coding RNA of Entelurus aequoreus (snake pipefish), 1365 nucleotides long. RefSeq lists it as uncharacterized. NCBI's taxonomy places the organism in Eukaryota, Metazoa, Chordata, Actinopteri, Syngnathiformes, Syngnathidae. The transcript has 3 exons. The record is from RefSeq and is a predicted model, not a curated record.
GACUUUUGGAAGCUACCCGGAACCCGAACAAAGUUCCUAAAACUUAUUUUUAAAAACACAUGACCGCCAUCAGUAUAUGCGUAGCGACUAGUUUAUUUCUUAUUUCUAUUACAACAAACUUGACAACAGAGAGGAAGAAGAACAAAAAGAGCUUUGGAAAUGCAGAAACCUAUUUGGGGCAUCUUUGUGCUGAAGAUCAGUGGAACUAUCUUGCUGUGUUUUUACUCAGCUGUAGUCUUCAAACUGUUUGUAGUUGAUUGUUUAUUAUUUUUUACAACCUUCCUUUCAAUACGCAAAGCUAUGAGAAGUGGAUGGACUCUUUAAACGUAUUUAUGGAGGAGUAUGAAGCCGGACUUGAAGCGGCGACAUCAGCUGCUUACUACUCUGACUUCUGUGGACAAAUGUGAAAUAAAAGAGGCAGCAAACGACUGGAACGAAGAAAACGAUCACCUGACCCUGACAGAAAUGAUCCAACCACUCCCUUCCACCAAUUCCUGUUGUCUGUUGGCCUCUUUGGGGACGUCUGGGAUCCGUCCCUUGAGGAGUGGGGGCUAAAGUCAGUUGUGCGACAGGGGAAGCACAACUCUCACUUUUCCCAGUGAGGCCACCAUCCUCUCCAGUGGGUCUGCAGAGGCCGUCAUCUUCUCCAGUGGGUCCGUAGAUGCCGCCAUCUUCUCCAGUGGGUCUGCAGAUGCCUCCAUCUUCUUCGCCCCCUGCUGUGCAGCCACCAUCUUCUCCGUCUCCUGCUGUGCAGCCGCCGCCUUCGUAGUCUCCAGCGGGCCCCCCACCGAGGCCGCCGUCUUCUUUGUCUGCAGCGGGCUCCUCGCCGAGGCCGGCGCCUUCUUCGUCUCCAGUGGGCUCCUCGCCGAGGCCGCAACCUCCAACUUGUUGGUCGCACAAGCGGCCAUCAGGCGCCCGCACACGCCCCCCUCGUCGGCCUAGAGUGUGGCCGUUUCAUGGACGCCCUCCGCGCCCUCAGAAGCUAUGCCAAGGACCUGGGCAUGGACGAUUGCAGCUGCUGGUGCACCAUGGCCACUCGCGUCUGCCUUCUCGUUGGCCACAAAUGUGGCCAUUCCGUGGGCACCCGCCUCGCAAGAUGCAGCGGCCUUCAACUCGCCACCGCCGCCACCUGGCUCUUCCCCACUUGCACAUGGCCUGGACUGAUGGUCGGCUUUUUGAGGCAGGGGUGCAGUUUUGAAACCCUCCGCCAUCCCUCCCUCCACCCUCCCUUGGUUUUGGACUUUUUGUUAAACUUAAUAUCAGGAAUUCGUUAUAGAAAGGGGACUACUGUCAGAAGUGCUACUGACAGUUUGGUUAUGUUUUGGUUUUCCUGUGUUUAGAAUCACCUCCUGUCCUGGAGCUCUU